GUAGGUGGCAAGCGUUGUCCGGAAUUAUUGGGCGUAAAGCGCGCGCAGGCGGUCCUUUAAGUCUGAUGUGAAAGCCCACGGCUCAACCGUGGAGGGUCAUUGGAAACUGGAGGACUUGAGUACAGAAGAGGAAAGCGGAAUUCCACGUGUAGCGGUGAAAUGCGUAGAGAUGUGGAGGAACACCAGUGGCGAAGGCGGCUUUCUGGUCUGUAACUGACGCUGAGGCGCGAAAGCGUGGGGGAGCAAACAGGAUUAGAUACCCUGGUAGUCCACGCCGUAAACGAUGAGUGCUAAGUGUUAGGGGGUUUCCGCCCCUUAGUGCUGCGGCUAACGCAUUAAGCACUCCGCCUGGGAGUACGGCCGCAAGGCUG
Molecule: ribosomal RNA, 371 nt
Filed under: uncultured organism
Description: partial 16S ribosomal RNA
Rfam family: Bacterial small subunit ribosomal RNA
Source: RNAcentral